Molecule: ribosomal RNA, 698 nt
Filed under: uncultured bacterium
Lineage: Bacteria
Description: bacterial SSU rRNA
Rfam family: Bacterial small subunit ribosomal RNA
Source: RNAcentral
GCAGUCGAGGGGCAGCAUAUAGAUUGCUUGCAAUUUAUGAUGGCGACCGGCGCACGGGUGAGUAACGCGUAUCCAACCUACCCAUUACUAGGGAAUAACCCAGCGAAAGUUGGCCUAAUGCCCUAUGUAGUCGUUUGAUCGCCUGAGAUUUCGACGAAAGAUUUAUCGGUAUUGGAUGGGGAUGCGUCUGAUUAGCUUGUUGGCGGGGUAAAGGCCCACCAAGGCAACGAUCAGUAGGGGUUCUGAGAGGAAGGUCCCCCACAUUGGAACUGAGACACGGUCCAAACUCCUACGGGAGGCAGCAGUGAGGAAUAUUGGUCAAUGGGCGAGAGCCUGAACCAGCCAAGUAGCGUGCAGGAUGACGGCCCUAUGGGUUGUAAACUGCUUUUAUAUGGGAAUAAAGUGAGGGACGUGUCCCUUAUUGCAUGUACCAUACGAAUAAGGACCGGCUAAUUCCGUGCCAGCAGCCGCGGUAAUACGGAAGGUCCAGGCGUUAUCCGGAUUUAUUGGGUUUAAAGGGAGCGUAGGCUGUUUGUUAAGCGUGUUGUGAAAUGUAGGAGCUCAACUUUUAGAUUGCAGCGCGAACUGGCAGACUUGAGUGCGCACAACGUAGGCGGAAUUCAUGGUGUAGCGGUGAAAUGCUUAGAUAUCAUGACGAACUCCGAUUGCGAAGGCAGCUUACGGGAGCGCAACUGACG